This 444-nucleotide ribosomal RNA is filed under the name Triticum aestivum (bread wheat). Its description in RNAcentral is "partial small subunit ribosomal RNA". The record is from RNAcentral. Lineage: Eukaryota; Viridiplantae; Streptophyta; Magnoliopsida; Poales; Poaceae.
AUGCUCUCGGAGUCUCAGGAUGCGGUCUCUUGGCCGCAUGCUACCUCUUGUCGCCUUUCUGUUAAGUCUUGUUAUCGUGUGCUCGCCCUGGGAUCGGUUGCUAACAAGUUCAAGACUGUUUGGGUGGCUAGGGUGCCGUCCAAGAUUAAGACUUUCAUGUGGCAGGCCAUGCGUGGCCGUCUGCCGGCCGCGGAUCAGAUCAAGAAACGCAACGGGCCGGGCUUGGAGUUUUGUGCCUUAUGUGGUGAGCGUGAGGACACGGAUCACAUUCUUUUCCGUUGCCCCUGGCCAAGUUUUUAUGGAGCUGCCUCUGUGAGUGGUUGGCGGUCUCCUGGACCCCGCUUAAUUUUGUUGAAUUGCGAUCCAAUGUUGCUCCCCUUCAUGGCCAAACUAGGAGGUUGUUUUGGUUUGGGUUUUCUGCCAUGUGUUGGACCCUGUGGAUGA